CAGCAGGAGUAGAGAGAGAGGGAGAGAGAGCCACAGAGAGGGAGAGGCAGAGACAAACCAGCAAUCUUUAAACUCGAGCUUUCUUUUUUUCCCCCUUCCUUUCUUUUGCCUUUUUUUUUUUUUUUUGGUAACGAUGUGCUAAAAUCUCUCCUGCAAACCGGUAAGUACAACCUUUCUGGAUCCUUUUGUUUCCGCCUAGGGUCAAAGACACCCCCCUCUUCCAAAAAGAAGAUAUAAUAAUCCUCUUUAUUUAUUUUUUUUAUUUUUAUUACAGCCCUUGCAGAAGAGAAAGAACUUAAGUGGCUAAUAUUUUGCAAAGGAGACAGAGAGAUUGAUACUGCAAUAUAGCUCUCGUCUCUCUCCCUUCUCCCCAGUUAGAUGCUGGUUUUAAUUGCAGAGGGUAUUUCUCUUUUCGUGCUUUCAACCAUCUCCUCUUUCCCACAGGGGAGGGUUUCAUUUGCAAGUUGAUCCUAAGGAUUUCUGUUCCUCUGGCAUUUCUCUCCCUUAAAUGCAUCUUUCUGCUCUUAAGUUUACGGAUGGGGGGCAAUUUUUUCUAGUUCUUACACGAGGAAGGCAAAAAGGACCUUUUUAUUGGGAGAUUGAGACUAAAAGCAAUGAUCGCUCCGAAUCAUUCUAAUGGGCAUUUCAGGGAUUCAAGGAAGGCUGCAUCACCACUGCUAUUAUUCCCAUCCUUAGCGUUUCCCUGUGCCCAUACAUUUAAAAUAUCUGGUGAAAGGAAGGGUGAAACCAUAUGUUGAAGGAGCUGCAUCUCAUUAGGGCAGUAUUAUUUUCAUCUGAUUGGAGAAGAAUGGUGUCUUCAUUCGGAAUCGUGUAUAGUAGGAUAGAGAAUUUAUCGGCUGGUAAGUGUCAAGGUAUUUUUUUUUUCUUCCACUUUCAGCUUUUUAACCGGGUCUCCUGCUUGGUCCUGGGGGCACAAAAUGCCCUAAUCCAAGGCAGGCUGAGCGUUUCAAUCCUAGGUGCCUCUUCAGCUGUCACUUCCCUUUAGAUCUGCUGAUCGCAUGGGCAUGUGCUUUAGAAAGAUUAAUCAUCUCUAAAUGCUUUAAUCAGCUAAAAUGACUAAUAUGUGGUGUGUAUUUAUCUGAUAAUAUACCAGUUGCAUUAAUUCACCGGCGCAUUUGCGAGGGGAAGAUUUCCUUCCCAAUCGGGGUCGUUAACCAUUUGCUCCGGUGAAGAUGCCGUGGGGGUUUCUGAGGGGAGCCGUUCUGCCAGGGACAUCAGCACAGCUCGCACAUUCCCUGGAACUCGCGUGUGGAACACAUCGAGCCGGGAGGGAGGGAGAUCGGAGGGCGGAGGUUCAAUAACUUUGGGAGUUUGCAUGGAUGAAGGAUGUGGUGCGACACUGGGGAAAUGUGCCCACACUUGGUGUGUUUUCCCCCCCGGAGUCGAGGCGGGCUGUGAUGGCUCCCGGGCUAAAACUGCACCCGGGGAUGAGAUCCGGGCAGUUCCGAAGCCUGGGAAACGUGGAGAGACGCAACACGUUCGGUGUGCUCGUGGUGCCGUGUGGGGCUGCAUGUGCUGUCCUCUUUAUAGGUGGCAUUUACCACGGGGAGGGGAGCGAGGCAGGCUGCUAUCGCGUGAUGGAGCCCUCUAACAUCUCUCAAGUAUAAAUCAGGGCAAGGCUCGCCCAGCCGACACCCCUGGAGUUGGUUGGGAACGUCUGCCCAACAAUUGCUGAACUUUCCAGGAGCCCGACAUGAGUCCAGCAGGUAGGGGCUUAGGAAAAGGAGAGGGGCAGGGCAGGAAUACUGAAAUCUGUGUUUCUCUUCCCGUUGCAGUUUUGUAAACAUCAACAAAUGAUGAAACCUUCCACGGCAGAGACGCUUCAUAAAGGAAGGAUGUUGUGGAUAAUUCUUCUAAGCACAAUUGCUCUAGCAUGGACUACACCUAUUCCCUUGAUAGAGGACUCGGAGGAACUGGAUGAGCCCUGCUUUGAUCCAUGUUACUGUGAAGUGAAGGAGAGCCUUUUCCAUAUACAUUGUGACAACAAGGGAUUUAUAAAUAUUAGUCAAAUAACAGAGUCAUGGUCGAGACCUUUUAAACUUUAUCUGCAGAGGAAUUCCAUGAGGAAAUUGUACACCAACAGUUUUCUUCACUUGAACAAUGCUGUGUCUAUUAACCUUGGGAACAAUGCACUGCAGGACAUUCAGACGGGGGCUUUUAACGGGCUCCGAGUUCUGAAGAGGUUGUAUUUGCACGAAAACAAAUUGGACAUUUUCAGGAACGACACUUUCCUGGGUUUGGAAAGUCUGGAAUAUCUGCAGGCAGAUUACAAUGUCAUUAAACGGAUUGAAAGCGGGGCAUUUCGAAACCUAAGCAAAUUGAGGGUCCUUAUCCUAAAUGACAAUCUUAUCCCCAUGCUUCCCACCAAUUUAUUUAAGUCUGUGUCCUUAACCCACUUGGACUUGCGGGGGAACCGCCUCAAAGUCCUUUCGUACCGCGGGAUGUUGGACCACAUUGGCAGGAGCCUGAUGGAGAUCCAGCUGGAGGAGAACCCGUGGAACUGUACGUGCGAGAUUGUGCAGCUCAAGAGCUGGCUGGAGCGCAUCCCCUACACCGCUCUGGUGGGGGACAUCACCUGCGAGACCCCCUUCCACUUCCACGGGAAGGACCUGCGGGAAAUCAAGAGAAGCAAGCUCUGCCCCAUGCUGUCCGACUCCGAGGUGGAAGCCAGCCUGGGCAUCCCUCAGCUGUCCUCCAGCAAGGAGAACGCGUGGCCUACGAAGCCUUCCUCCAUGCUGUCCUCCUUCCAUUUCACCGCUUCCUCCGUUGAGUACAAAACGUCCAACAAGCAGCCCAAGCCCACCAAGCAGCCCCGGGCGCCCCGGCCUCCCCCGACCCCCCGUGGCCUGUACCCCGGGCCCAACCAACCUCCCGUGGCUGCCUACCAGACCCGGCCCCCCAUCCCCAUCAUCUGCCCCACCGGCUGCUCUUGCAGUUUGCACAUCAACGACCUGGGCCUGACGGUCAACUGCAAGGAGCGGGGAUUCCACAACAUCUCCGAGCUCCUGCCCAGGCCCUUGAACGCCAAGAAGCUGUACCUGAGCGGGAAUUUGAUCCAGAAAAUCUACCGCUCCGAUUUCUGGAAUUUUUCCUCCUUGGAUCUCUUACACCUGGGGAACAACCGGAUCUCCUACGUGCAGGACGGGGCGUUCAUCAACCUGCCGAACCUCAAGAGCCUGUACCUGAACGGGAACGACAUCGAGCGGCUCACCCCGGGCAUGUUCCGGGGCCUGCAGAGUUUGCAUUACCUGUACUUUGAGUACAACCUGAUCAGGGAAAUCCAGCCGGCGGCCUUCAGCCUCAUGCCCAACCUGAAGCUCCUCUUCCUCAACGACAACCUGCUCCGCACGCUGCCCACCGACGCCUUCGCCGGCACCUCCCUGGCGCGCCUCAACCUGCGCAACAACCACUUCUUGGCGCUGCCGGUGGCCGGGGUGCUGGAGCACCUGCACGCCAUCGUGCAGAUCGACCUGAAGCUCAACCCCUGGGACUGCACCUGCGAGCUGGUGCCGCUGAAGCAGUGGCUGGAGGCGCUCAGCUCCGUCAGCGUGGUGGGCGAGGUGCUGUGCGCCAGCCCCGAGCCGCUGGCCCGCCGCGACCUGCGCUCGCUGGAGCUGGCCGCGCUGUGCCCCGCCGCCCUGCGCCCCGCCGCCGCCGCCGCCGCCUCGCCCCCCGCCGCCGCCCCGCCGCCGCCCGCCGCCACCGGCGCGGCCGCCUACGAGCUGCCCCCGGCCGCCGCGGCCGCGGCCGUGCCGCUCUCCGUGCUCAUCCUCAGCCUCCUCGUCCUCUUCUUCUCCGCCGUGCUGGUGGCCGCCGGGCUCUUCGCCUUCGUGCUGCGCCGCCGCCGGCGGAAGCUGCCGUUCCGCGGCCCGCGGGCGGAGGCGGCGGACCUGGGCGCGGUGCCGCUGCGCUGCCCGCGGCUCUUCCCCGAGGGCGGCGGCGGCGGCGGCGGGGGCGGCGGCGGCGGCGGGGGGGGCCCCGGGGAGCGGUCCCCGGAGAAGGCGCCCCCGGCGGGCCACGUCUACGACUACAUCCCGCACCCGGUGACCCAGAUGUGCAACAACCCCAUCUACAAGCCGCGGGAGGAGGAAGAGGCGGCGGGCGGCGGCGGCGGCGAGGCGGCCGAGCUGCUGCGGGGCGGCGGCGAGCGCGGCUUCGCCCACCCCGCCGCCCCCGCCGCCGCGCCGGAGCCGGGCAGCAGCUACCGCACCUUGCUGGAGAAGGAGCAGGAGUGGAGCCUGGCCGUGUCCAGCUCGCAGCUCAACACCAUCGUGGCCGUGCACCCCCAGCACCCCGCGGGCGGAGGGCUGGCGGCGGGCGCCCUCGGGGCGGCGGCGGCGGGGGGAGCCCCGCGGGACCGCGACCGCCCGCCGCCCUGCGCCGUGGGGUUCGUGGACUGCCUGUACGGCACCGUGCCCAAGCUGAAGGAACUGCACGUCCACCCCCCCGGCAUGCAAUACCCGGACCUGCAGCAGGACGCCAGGCUGAAGGAGACCCUGCUCUUCGCGGCCGGCAAGGGCUUCCCGGACCACCAAACCCCCACAAGCGAAUACCUCGAGUUAAGGGCCAAACUCCAAACCAAGCCGGAUUACCUCGAAGUCCUGGAGAAGACCACGUACCGGUUCUGACCGCCGCCCCGCCGCCCGCCCGGCCCCGCCGCCCGCGAGCAGAGGAUACAGCUGUGCGCUCUGCCCCGCCAGAUGUGCGCGCUGCGGGGCAGGGCCCUUCUCAGAUCAGUAAUCGACGAAGUGCCUUCGCAGACUUUUGCCAGCAGAUGUUAAUCAAUCAUUAUUUUUUAUACUGAAACUGAGACUUUGACUGUGCCAUGUCUAAAGGUAUAUUAUUAUUAUUAUUAUAUUAUUAUUAUUAUCGGGGAUCUUUGUAUUGAUCCUGAUCAAGUAAAUUCUAUGUGUGUCUCUUUCUCUCUUUUUUCUUUUCCCUGUUCUUUUGUUUUCUUUAUUCUUGUUGUUUGUUUUGUUCGUUGGCUCUUUUUUUUUUCCUUUUUUUUUUCUUUUUCUUUGGCAGUAAACUUCCUUGAUACUUUCCCUUGGAGGGGAGGGGGAGGGAAGAUGGCAUUUUCUGGCCUGCUUUAUUCUUGCCCAUCAUGGCACAGAUUCUGUACAUUUAUUUAAAAGAGGAAAAAAAAAAUAAUGCAAAGAAGCAAACGAGCGCAGUUUGCUGCAUGCCUGGAAACUGCAAGAGGGAAGGGAGGGGAGGGUCUUGCUCGAAUGUCUCACUCUUGUCUCUCUCCCUCCCUCGCACGCACACUCCUCACCCUCACCCUCCGCCAGCCCAGCCCCUGCAGGGGGGCUCGGGGGCCGCGGGGGGAAUCCCGGGGGCAGUCCCGGGGGCUGGGGGAAGCCACCCGGAGCCGAGCAGCCCAAAGGAUGUCACCACGUGGCGCACACACCUAGGGGAUGCUCAGUGACACUUCAUCAUGACGCCAUGGGUUUUUUUUUUUGUGUGUUGUUUUUUUUUUUUUUUUUUUUUUUUUGAGGACAUCCGCACUUUCCUAAUAAAAGCGACAUGCAAAUAUACAGAGAUAAAAAAAAAAAAGGAAAAAAAAAAAGCUAAUGGGCACCUCUCACUAACAGCUUUGUAGGAAGCACUUUUAAUGUUUUCUCUCAUGCACCCAUACACGCACACACGCACACACACACAAAGGUACAACAAUGUGCAUAUAUUUAUUCUGUAAUUUCAAGUGAAUAUAAAUUGUAAAGGUAAUGUUAAAUCAUUGUACAGUGAUGCGUCUGGUAUAGCUUUCCUAAUAAAACGUUUUGAAAAAAAUUACAGAUAUAUAUAUAUAUAUACAGCCCCAUAUAUAUAUAUAUAUAUAGGAAUACAAAGCUUGAACCUGAAACUUCAGCUUCCUCCACAGAGAUUUCCUUCCCCCCCAUAACCUUGAACGCUAUUUUAUUAAUAACAGUUCGAUGCACUGUGAUGUUAACAGAGAAAAAAAAACAACCCUGUACAGCGUCUCUUGCCAAGAUACCACCCGAGACUGCCACAAAUCCGAUUUGCGAUCUGUAUCCCUGCCGCACUGUCCUGACAGUUAAAAAUAUCGGGAAAACUGGGAGCGCAUCCCGCCGGAGCGCUGCUUCCCGGCCUGCUGGAGGCACCGGGAGGCAUCGCAGGGAUGUUGCCGGUGCUGGCAGCGGGGUGAGCACUCAAAGAGCUCCCACCCCUCCGGAUUAAACUGCAUUUCCAGUUUGGAAUGGGGGGAUGCCAUCUGGGAAAGCAAAGCAUCCCAGCGGGCGCGCCGCUCCUUCUCCCGCUCCAGGUGCAACCGGAGGGAGACCAAAGACCAUGGGAUUUCCCUGCCCGGGCGGGUCCCGGUUGGUAUCUUGUCCACUUUGGUGUCUUGUCCCCGGCGGUGUCCCUCUGUCCCGUGUCCCUCUGUCCCGUGUCCCUCUGUCCCGUGUCCCUCUGUCCCGCCGCUGUUGUGUCCCCGCGGCUCCCGGCCCCUCGCGGCCGCCAGGUGGCGCCCCAGCCCCAGCGCUGAGGGGCGGCGGCGGGGCCGGAGCGCCCGGGCUCGAUCCGUGCUCGAUUCAUGCUCGAUCCAUGCUCGAUCCCAGGGUUGAUCCCGGGAUUGAUCCCGUACCCGGCCCUGGGCUCCAUCCUGGAUUCCAUCCCGGGCUGGAGCCGCUCCCGACGCCGCUCCCUGUCCCCGUCCGCCCCGCCGAAUGAACCCCACGGGCGCCUCACCCGGGGCGGGCGGGGCCGCCAAGGGCAGCCCCCUCAGCCGGGCGCUGCCCUGAGGGCACUCAGAGAGUGGGGUCAAUCCAGAAAUCCCCCAUGUGUCCAUCAGCACCAUUUGUCUGAACAGCGGUCAGGGUGGUUUAUCCGGGUGAAUCGAGGUUAUUCCCUCAAGGGUGCUGCUGGAAGCGCUCCUGCCGCUGUCCCGAGGGGACCGGGGUCUGUCGCCUCCUGGCAAAGGGUCACAUUGCCAAGGUCACCCUCCCCACCAUCUGCUCUUCCUUGGGGAACAGCUCGGUUUCACCCCGCACAAUGUGUUUUAACAGAGAUAAACCCAUAAAUAACUUGUUGUCCCCACAAUGUCGCUAUUUAGAGCUCUGGGCAGGAUGCUCGUGGUGAGCUUUUUCUCUUGGAGAGUCAUUUCCCCAGCCUUGGUAGCAGCUGUGUGUGUCUGGAGAUGGAGGGACAGCUCCGAACCUCUGUAAAUCUGGCAUCACCCUCCAUGCUAUCAGUAAAAUUAUUACACAUUGCAAUUUCCCCUGUUGAGUUGAGAUUGUGUUUCCUCACUGCUGCCUUCAGCUCUGACCCGUUGGGGUUUGCUCAUUUGUUUGUUUUGUGAGUUUUUAAUAGAUAGUGGAAGAGCAUGCACGUGCUAAGAGUAUUAAACAUGCAAGUGCAAAGGCCAGAUCCUUCUUAUCAUAAUUGUAAUAAUUACAUUGAUAAGCCUACAUGCAAGUGAUGCGUGGAGCUGUAUAAAUCAGGUUAAAGUACAACCCCCAGUGAGAGUGGUGCUGUAUACAUUUGGCAAUGUCCUCGAAGCCCCAAGCGUUCAUACUUGUAUCCAAAUAGAGUAAAGCCGGUUGCAAAUAAUGUUUAUAUUUUAAUUAAACUGCAGAAAGGCAAGAGAACUUCAUCCUUACUAUAGGCAGUAAUCUCACCUGUGGACGGUGAGCAGAUCUAUUUAUUCAGUGGAAAUAAAUUUGUUCUAUGAGAAUGGAAUUUUGUAUUAAAAGAGAUAAUUUUUGGCUUACGUUGAGUUAUUUUUCUUUCCUUGUGUAGGAAACUUCCUUUCCCUUGUGUACUGAGAUGAUUUGGGGAUGAUUUGCUCUGGAAGUGUUGACAAUGUCUAAGUGUGAUGUCUAAAGGGUGUUUUGAUGAGUUUAGUUUGCUUUUUCAUUGUGUUGAACUGAGGCUGAGUGGGUAGCAGCAUUCCUUUCCCACCGCAGGAAAGAAAGUGGAUCCAUCAACUCUGACCUGCAGUGGGUAACACUGCAUGCUCCAACCCAGGUUCCUCCUAAUUAAUAUAGAGUAUUAAUGAUAAUUCUGUCUUUAUCAGCAGUAGCAUGGGUAGCAUUAAUGCUACUGGGAAGGAAUCAAAUAAAGUCAAAUGCUCUGCAGUUGCAUUAGAGCUGCUUGAUGGGAUGCUAUGUGAAAUAAAUAUUUUUUAGCUGACUUCAUGGUUUAGCUGAUUUCACCUGGUGUCAGCCUGAGCAGCUCAGCCUGUGGUAGUAAAACCUUCAGCAAGUGUUUGGUUUAUUCCCUCACUGACCAUUGAAAUUCUUCCUACAGGUGGAAAAGAACAGCAAGGCCAGGUAAGCCCCAGUCCCAGCCAACAGCUGCACACAGGGAAAUGGAAAGGAUGAUCCUGGUGCUCAAUUAUUGGUGCUUUUUUGUAUUUUCUGGAUAUUGUCAUUGACGUCACCAUCACAGUGUACCCUAGGUUAAAAAAUUUGUUUGGAAAUGGCUUCAUGGAUCUCUUGAGUGUAUCAACAGCGGUAGAAAGAUGUCAAAUGUUAUGGUAUGAGUAAUAAUGUGAAUUUUGGAAAGUCUGUUGCCUACUGCUUUUGAGUGUUAUUGGAGAGUGAGAAUCUCAUUUCUUAGGAGCUUCAGUGAACAUGAGUUAAGCUGUGGCAUUUCCAGAUUUUGCCUUUCUAGACAAAACCACCUUUGAGUGUGGCAGCACAGCUGACUUGGUUUUAAGCUAGAAAUGUGUGGGUUUGUCCAACUUGUUCUCGGAGAAUUUUGAGAGGAGGGAAAGGUCCCUCCAAAAUGUGAGGCUGUUCUCCUGAAGCACUUGGGUAUGCCAGCAGCACUUGAUGAUCUCUGUGCUGCUUCCACUUGCUUCAAGUAUCCACUUCACACGAAGAAGAUGUGAUGGUUUGGGUUGAGGUUUAACAGAAGUGUUCACGUGAAGAGCAGCAUGUAGAAUUUGGCCCUAAGUGUGGGAGUUCGUUGCUCAGGACAUUGCUUUACCAUGGGUGCGACUCCGGGCAGCGCUCCAGCCACCCCGGGGUGAACUUGUUCCUGGAUUGCCCUUCUUCCAAAGGCACUCGCUUUUACAACGUGGAUUUAUGGACACUGGGAAAUCAGGCUGCUCUGUGCUGCACAUUCCUGUUUUCUGAGUUUUUCCAAGGCUUGGUUUUCAAUCUGCAGCUGAGGUUCUCAGUGAAUUUAUGUAUGUAUGUAUUUGUGUGUAACCAAUUAUGUAUUUGUGUUGUACACAGUACAACACCGUUUUUCUCCAUGGGGGAAAUGCACAUUGACCCAGGAUGUAGCUCACAACAGCUCUUUGUACAAAAAAUCCUAUUUUUUAAUUCUGGUGUGAGUGGAAAUGGAUUUUUUUUUUUUUCCAGUUCUUGAAAUAUUUCUGGUUUGAUUGGGCAGUAGAAGGAAUCAGAAUGUGCUUGGAACAAACCCUUGAGUGGGAAUGGAGCGGAGGCCCAAUUCUGCUCCCUUGGAAGCCAAUGUUGAGACACCACAUUAUGCUCAGUUUUAGUCAACAGACUUGAAUGAAGAGCAAAAUCUGAUCUCAGAAAAUUACAGCAUCUAUUAAGUGGAUUCAAGUAUUUUGAGACAAGUACUCCAUGGGACUGUUUCAGAAUGAAAUGAGUAAUGGUACAGAGGAAAUGGGUUUGCCAUCAAUUCAGUGAUUCUUUGACUGACCUCGCUCACAAAUUAACUGAACAAUCUUUAAGGCUUUAGAUUUUAAAGACAAAUUUGUUUAUCUCUAAUGUCAUUGGUGACCAACUAGCCAGGAAGAUUACUAAUGUAACCAUUGCAAAUUAUUUGGAAAUAAUUUAUUAGUAUUCCUUUUUCUCUUUGAGGGCAAGGAUAUGGAGGUCCCUUCCAACCCAGGGCAUCUGUGUUUCUGUGAUUGACAGGCUCUGACAACUGUAUUUCCUACAACUUCUUUAAAAUGCCUUUUCCUUGAUCCUUGUAGUUUCCCAGUUGUAAAAUUCUGUCCUUAUCACAUUUUUGUUUAGGGUGUUGGGGCAGUUUGGCAGAUUUCUAUGAAACUAUUGACUUUGCUCAGAGAGCAAAGCACAGAGCACCCCAGGAGGCUGCUGGGGUGACACUUGUAGGUCACUUUUGAUCCCUGUGGAAAGAUACAUAAACCUUUGGUUUUGUAUUUGGAAACACUUCCCUGUGGUGGCAUUUUCUCUGCUAAAUUGUUCAGUAUUGUGUUUUUCAGGAUGGUGUCAGAUGGAUAAUUUUUGUGGGAAGAUGAGAGGAAAAGGCUCAAAGAGCAGAGCUGUAGGAAUGCCCAUAUUCAUGCUGGGUGGUCUCUGUAGGGUGGGUGCUGCAUCAAUCCUGAUAUUUUUGAAUGUUAAUGGUGUUGAUCUGGAGUGUAGGGUUUUUAGGCAUUAUUUAGAGGUGUGGACUCUAAUAGUGCAAGACUCAGCUGUUGGGUGCCUUAAAAAGAAGAGAUACGAACAGAGGGCAGAGCAAAUAUAAAAUAUUCACAACCAAGUCCUAUGUCCUAUCCUGAAUCUUUAAUGUCCAUUUACUUUACUUUUUCCACUAGAAAUUUCUAAAUCUCUCAAGAAUAUCCUAUAUGUUCUGUAAAUCCUGAAGAGAUAUUUCAGGUUAGCCAAGGAGUGACUCUCUCUGUACUUGGGAAUUCCAACAAAUGCCACUGCCUGUGGAGGAAUAUGCUGCCCAUGGCAUGUGGCACAGUAAUUUGGCUUGUCCUUGGAGCAUGGUGCCAGGGAGGGAGGUUCUCUGCAGUCAUCGGAUUUUGCAGUAGGGCUUGAAUGAUUCCAAGCAGGAAUUCCUGAAUUGUGAUAAAUCGCUUUUGGAAUGGGAAAGACUUCAUUUGUGCUGCUACUUCUGGUGGCACUGCCAUCCCUGCCGGUGGUGGUGACUCUUGGCACCAUUCCUGAGGAGGGACUCCUGUGACAGUAACCUAAAAACCAACCAACCAACCAAACAAAAAGCUGAAGAAAUGUUUGUGACUUUCUGUCCUACAGGGACCUUAUCUGAAGUCAAUGACAUUCCCCAAAUGUUACAGUGGCAUUAAUAUACUGCUUAUGGGGCUUUCAUGCAUUUUUUUUGUUGCUUUCCUUUGCCUUUCCAGAGACAGUAGGUGGAUUACACCUUAAAGAAUUAUAGGAAUGUAUUUGUUGAUCCUUUUUUCAGGCUGUACUUGUUUAAAACUAAGUCAGUCCCAGCAGUAACUGUCCUAAACUGAGUUUUAUAGAAAGAUACAUAAACCUUUGGUUUUGCACUUGGUCUCUAAAUUAUGUGUUUAAAUAUAUAUAUAAAAUGUCCAUUAUCUGAAUAACCCUUGAACUAAAGGCCAUCUUUGAACUUUGGAGGCUUUGUAAAUCAAAGUUUAUUAAUGGUUUGGUUUUAUGGGUUUUUUUUUGUUCUGUGAUUGUUCAGUUUGAUUUUACCACUGGUACGACCAGAGAGAGGGAAACAUUGCAGUGUGAAAAUUCUUAUAAUAGGACUUUCAUUCUUGUGCUUCUUUUCUUUGGAGAGUGAAGGAGCUCUGCUCCAAAGAGCGUAGGAAUUGCCACUCAGAGCUGAAAUGUCUUCACUCUGCUGUGUCCUGAGAGUGCCCAACACAGUCUGACUCACAGAGAGAUGCCAGAAAUCCCCAUUAGUGAGAUUUCAGGGUUGGAUGGGACCAGCCAAGCUGCUCCACCUGAGAAAUCCAGUCCUUAGGGUCCUACACCACUGGAGCCACUGGCCCCACGUGCACUGGGAGCACUGAGAAAAUUCAUGUUGUGUUGCUUAGGUGAAAAACAAGCUUUACAAAAAUUAGGCAUUGGUAAUGGAUGCUUUUCAGUGAAGUUUGUCUGUCUUUUUAGGGAACCCAUCCAGAUUUCUCUGGUGCUGUUAAAUUGCCAUGCAAGGGCAGGACUGAUCAGUUGUCCCCAAAGCACUGCUGGAAUAAAUCUGUAGCUAAAUGCAUUCUUCUUAAUCAGAGAGACAUUUCCUGUGGCAUCACUUCUGUUAUGUUUUCUUGCAGUGACCCAAAAACCUGGCUGCUUUGGAAAGUGGAUAGUAUUGGCAAGCAAAGAAAUAUGAGUGGUGUAUUGCACCUCGAGACUUCCCUCUGCCCCGCCUGGAGUGCCCUCAGCUUGCUGGCAGCCUCGCCAGGUUGGCCGUGGUGGUGUCACAGGCCUUUGCCAACCAGAGCCAACCAGAGUCUGUCCAAGCCUUCAGAGCACAAAGCCCUGAUAAGAAGGAUCUCUAACAGGUACGCAUCAGGGAGAAGGAGGAGAUGUUCCUAAAAUUAGUUGCUGUCAGCUCCAAGCAGGAGUGAGUGCCUCGUGUGUCACAGAAACGCUGAGUAUGUGCUGUAUAUACUGUGUGUAAAUCUAAGUAUGUACCUAUAAUUACACUACGAAAGUGUAAAAUUCAAUCUUUGCAAACUUCUGGGAGAUUCAGGAACAUGGCUUGCUUUGGACUGUAAUUAAAAUGUGGGCAUUUUGGUUAAAAAUAGCUCCUUUCUGACCUACAUUCUCGAUGUAGGUCAGUGGAGGCACUUCUCAGACAUAUUAGCAUUUUGGACACUUAAUCUUAGCAGCAUAUUGCCUCUCCUAGAAUAGGUUAGGGGAGGCAAGGCAGGAGGAAUUGCUGCAUCUCGAGUCACCCAGAGAGGUUGCCAAGUUUCUCAGGCACCAGAGAGGCAGAAUAAUGAGGAUUAUAUUUAAUUCGGGCUGGAGAGACAACCGUGGGGUGUUGAGCAGAGGCAGCUCAGAUCAUCUUGGCUCUGUGGGGGAGGGAGAAUUUAUAACUCUAGCUGGCUCCAAAGCAAGCUGUGUGUGCAUUUGCGUGUGUAUGUAUAUUUAUAUAUAUGUAUAUACAAAUCUGGAUGUGUAUAUAACACCCUGUGUAUAUAUGUAUGUAUGUAUGUAUAUGCCUACAGUGUACAAAAUGUGUAUCUAUAGAAAUGUAUACAUUUAUAUGAAUUUCUAUUUCUCUAUAUAAAUAGUCAUGCAACUAAGGGAAAUCACAUUUCCACUGCGUGUCCUUUUCUGUAACACCCCCCCAAAAAGAAGCUGCUUCCAUUAAUGUCAUAUUGGCACAAACAACUUAAAUUUUCUUUUCUGUUUAGAAAGGAGUGGUGCUUAGUGGCUGAGCACAAGCCUGGAAGGUUUUUACUCUUCCAGAGGACUUCCAGUAAAUCAUGAGCUGCUCCAGAGCUGUUCCAUAUUUGUGAAAUAAAGGGGUGGCCAAAAUGACUCAGGGCUGGUUUUGUAGGGGUUGUUGAGUGUGCAUUGGAAACCUCAGCUAUGCUCUCAGAGUUUUGAUGGUGAAAUAUCUGCACUGCUAAUUACUCUGGUUGCUGUUAAUUUCCUAGCAAUUGGCUUGAACAGGGGAAAAAAAUUUCCUGCUCUAAAGUAAGUUAUCUGAAGUCUGAUUAUGUUGCCUCAGUGAUGUAUGGAUUUCCAUUUAGGGUCAGGAUGUUGGGCUGUAAAUCAAGAAUCUGAGCUCAGUGAACAUCUAGUUUGGGAUGUGUCUUUUCUGUUCUAAUUGAUUUUAAAUAAUUUCAAUUCAUCAUCAGAAUGAGCUAUACCUUAAUUCAUGAUAAGCUCAAAGAAUUUCUCAUUCAUAUCAGGGUGAAUUUUACACUUGACUUCGGUGGGGCUGAACGAGGUCAGAGCGUUUCAUUCAGCACUGGCAUAAAAACAAUCUUGUAGUUGUGCAACUAUUAAUUCAAAUUGUAAUUUUGUAAUAAAAGCAGCCUAAAAAU
Molecule: RNA transcript, 13705 nt
Organism: Passer domesticus (house sparrow)
Lineage: Eukaryota; Metazoa; Chordata; Aves; Passeriformes; Passeridae
Gene: SLITRK3
Gene name: SLIT and NTRK like family member 3
Exons: 2
Source: RefSeq, a predicted model, not a curated record